Molecule: long non-coding RNA, 617 nt
Filed under: Mustela putorius furo (domestic ferret)
Lineage: Eukaryota; Metazoa; Chordata; Mammalia; Carnivora; Mustelidae
Description: lncRNA (ENSMPUG00000027310.1)
Source: RNAcentral
ACAAGUCCUGCUGCGGUUCAAAAAGAGGGAACACACACCCUACCUCUUCAAAGGAGGAGUGUCAGUGACACUGGAAGACAGUGAUGUGAGAUGGGAUAUUCCUAGGGCCAUCUUUGGAAAAUAGGACAUAGGAAACAGCUCUGUUAAGUACAAAGCAUCACAUGAAUGGUGUUGCUAAUACUCAGGCCUUCCCCUGAAGUGCUGUUUCACAUAUUUAACAGGGACCUUGAAUCCAGGAACACCUGCCUCCAUCUAGAAUAUUUCACACCGCGGUCACCUCACUCUUCUGGACAUGGGUCUGAUUUUUCUACCAAGCCUAAGCACCAAGGCAUGGAUCUGGGCACUGGAAAUAAAGUGAUAAUCAAGAUAUCCAUCAUCACUGCCAUCAUCGAACUUGAACCUGGAAGGAAUGAACUCAGUGCACUUUUAGAGAAGGAGUCGUCAGUGAAUGAGGGCUCUGAAAUGUUGGACAAGAUGGGAUUUAACAUCAAGACAACAAGCCCCAGAGGUAGCUUGAGGACUGGUCUAAGACUUCUCACACACUCACUCCAAUAAACUAGACCAGGCUUCUCGGGAGUCCCGUUUCUGAAGUGUGUGUGGUGGUGAGCAGUGGGCGC